This 491-nucleotide ribosomal RNA is filed under the name uncultured bacterium. RNAcentral's name for it is "bacterial SSU rRNA". It matches the Rfam family "Bacterial small subunit ribosomal RNA", at positions 27 to 507 of the family's 1533-position model. The record is from RNAcentral.
CGGAUGAACGCUAGCGAUAGGCCUAACACAUGCAAGUCGAGGGGCAGCACAUGAGUAGCAAUACGAUGGUGGCGACCGGCGCACGGGUGAGUAACACGUAUGCAACCUACCUCUAACAGGGGGAUAACCCGUUGAAAGACGGACUAAUACCCCAUAAUACAGGGGCUCCGCAUGGAGAUAUUUGUUAAAGAUUUUAUCGGUUAGAGAUGGGCAUGUGUUCCAUUAGCUAGUUGGUGAGGUAACGGCUCACCAAGGCGACGAUGGAUAGGGGAACUGAGAGGUUUAUCCCCCACACUGGAACUGAGACACGGUCCAGACUCCUACGGGAGGCAGCAGUGAGGAAUAUUGGUCAAUGGAGGCAACUCUGAACCAGCCAAGUCGCGUGAAGGAUGAAGGUCUUAUGGAUUGUAAACUUCUUUUACAGGGGAAUAAAGUGCGGGACGUGUCCCGUUUUGUAUGUACCCUGAGAAUAAGGAUCGGCUAACUCCGUG